This 511-nucleotide ribosomal RNA is filed under the name uncultured bacterium. Its description in RNAcentral is "bacterial SSU rRNA". It matches the Rfam family "Bacterial small subunit ribosomal RNA", at positions 8 to 518 of the family's 1533-position model. The record is from RNAcentral.
AGGGUUCGAUUCUGGCUCAGGAUGAACGCUGGCGGCGUGCUUAACACAUGCAAGUCGAACGGAGUUUUUAAACGGAAGUUUUCGGAUGGAAGUUUAAAAACUUAGUGGCGGACGGGUGAGUAACGCGUGGGUAACCUGCCUCAUACAGGGGGAUAACAGUUAGAAAUGACUGCUAACACCGCAUAAUAUAGCGAAACCGCAUGAUUUUUGCUAUCAAAUAUUUAUAGGUAUGAGAUGGGCCCGCGUCUGAUUAGCUAGUUGGUGGGGUAAAAGCCUACCAAGGCGACGAUCAGUAGCCGGCUUGAGAGAGUGACCGGCCACAUUGGGACUGAGACACGGCCCAAACUCCUACGGGAGGCAGCAGUGGGGAAUAUUGGACAAUGGGGGAAACCCUGAUCCAGCGACGCCCGCGUGAGUGAAGAAGUAUUUCGGUAUGUAAAGCUCUAUCAGCAGGGAAGAUAAUGACAGUACCUGACUAAGAAGCCCCGGCUAACUACGUGCCAGCAGCUGC